Molecule: long non-coding RNA, 991 nt
Organism: Beta vulgaris subsp. vulgaris (sugar beet)
Lineage: Eukaryota; Viridiplantae; Streptophyta; Magnoliopsida; Caryophyllales; Amaranthaceae
Exons: 3
Source: RefSeq, a predicted model, not a curated record
UCACAAACAACUCACAACUUAAACCACCGCCUCAUACUCAUAACUCAUAACUCAUAAAUCUAAAUCACCCUUCAUCAAGAAUUUGCUCUCUGCGAUUUUGCUGAAACCUAAUGAAAAAUCCCCCAUUCAUUUUCUCCUUAAAUUCAUGCUUUAGAAUGUAUUCGGCGACAAAUCAAAAUUUCGCUCCUUUUCCAACCAUUCUGAAUUUAGGAUGGAAUGUGAAAUUCUAGAAUUCGAUUUCUAGGGUUCCACAUUCCGUAAUUGAAUUCGUAUAAUUCAAAUGAGUGGUAAUCGAUUUCGGAAUUUUGAUUUAUCACCUUUUCAAGAUAGAAUAUUGUAGAGAUUUAGGUAUUUUAUGAAUUUCGUUGAACAUUUCAAGUUCUCCCCAAUAAUUCAUGAUAUUGAAGUGUGAAGAACGAGAUUUUAAGGGGAAGGUUGUUCAAAGCGAAGGUAAGGACGCUGAGGGUUGCUAAAAGUAUCUAGCAACAUUUGUACUGUGUUCGUAGUCUGCUGGCAGAGAAAGCUAGAAGGGUGGAGUUAACACUUAACACAGGUGUAUUGAUGAACAAUGGAAUAAUUGAGAGUUUGUGAUAUAUAACGGAGUGAGUUAAUUGAAGCUAAGUUUGAUGUUGCUACAGCUGUAUAUAAUGGGAAGCCUUUCAGUUUUACGUUUUAGUCCAGUUUAAGGAUAUUAACCUAUAUGUUAUAGACUUGUAGUGUAUGUACAAUGUAGCAUUGAGUUUUAUUCAACCUGGAUGAAGUUUUUGGCUUCUUUGAAGAUAACUAGAUUUUACUAAUUAUAUUUCUUUUUUUAUUGUUUAAGGAAUCUGUAUUAAUUAGGAAACUACAUUCAAGAUUUUGAUUUUUUUUUUUUUUUAUAUUUUGUGAUUGAUAGCAAGAAAAACUGCUAUUUGUUUUUAGGUACAAGAUAAGUGAUCUCGAUUUGUAAUUGCAAGCAUAGCAGUAAUAUGAGGGAAAUGUUAAUUGUUAA